RNAcentral lists this ribosomal RNA (42 nucleotides) under Phellodon fuligineoalbus. Its description in RNAcentral is "Bankera fuligineoalba partial 28S ribosomal RNA". Lineage: Eukaryota; Fungi; Basidiomycota; Agaricomycetes; Thelephorales; Thelephoraceae. The record is from RNAcentral.
UUGACCAAAUUCGACCUCAAAUCAGGUAGGACUACCCGCUGA